This 468-nucleotide ribosomal RNA is filed under the name uncultured bacterium. RNAcentral's name for it is "partial 16S ribosomal RNA". It matches the Rfam family "Bacterial small subunit ribosomal RNA", at positions 28 to 507 of the family's 1533-position model. The record is from RNAcentral.
GUCGAACGCUGGCGGCGUGCUUAACACAUGCAAGUCGAACGGAAAGGCCCUGCUUUUGUGGGGUGCUCGAGUGGCGAACGGGUGAGUAACACGUGAGUAACCUUCCCUUUACUUUGGGAUAACUUCAGGAAACUGGUGCUAAUACCUGAUAGGAGCUCCUGCUGCAUGGUGGGGGUUGGAAAGUUUGGGCGGUUGGGGAUGGACUCCCGGCUUAUCAGCUUGUUGGUGGGGUAGUGGCUUACCAAGGCUUUGACGGGUAGCCGGCCUGAGAGGGUGACCGGCCACAUUGGGACUGAGAUACGGCCCAGACUCCUACGGGAGGCAGCAGUGGGGAAUAUUGCACAAUGGGCGGAAGCCUGAUGAAGAAACGCCGCGUGCGGGAUGACGGCCUUCGGGUUGUAAACCGCUUUAGCCUGUGACGAAGCGUGAGUGACGGUAAUGGGUAAAGAAGCACCGGCUAACUACGUG